This is a long non-coding RNA of Contarinia nasturtii (swede midge), 887 nucleotides long. RefSeq lists it as uncharacterized. The record is from RefSeq and is a predicted model, not a curated record. Lineage: Eukaryota; Metazoa; Arthropoda; Insecta; Diptera; Cecidomyiidae. The transcript has 4 exons.
UGAAGGUGACGAAGAAGAAGAAAGAGGCGCAUCCAAAAAAAGCCUAGCCAAAAAAAUCGAAAGUUUACUCCACGAAGGUGUUCCAGAUAUAUACGAAAAAUUGACAUUAUACAUGGAAAAAGUCAAACAGAAUAUGAAUGAUUUAGUACCAAAAGCCAUAACGUAUUAUAUCAUAAAGAAAGUGGUAAACUACAUCAGCCACGAUGUUAUUUUCCAUGUAACUGCUAUUCCGUACGACGAAUAUCCAAAACUUCUUAAACUGGAUGGAAUGGAUGAAGCCAAAUAUGUGGCAGCGUCAAAAAUGCUUGAGGCAUGUAAAGUAGCCCUUACAGGAAUUCAUAAUUUGUACGAGCAGACAAAUGCAUUUGGCACCCAAGCUGGAAACAAAAGCCGAAAUUGAAUGAAAUUCGUUCAUGAAUAAUGGAACUAAGCGACUCGUUAUGGACCGCGAAUCAAAAACACCGCAUACCGAGUUUUACAAAAAAGCUCAAUUUUAUAGUUUUUAAGCCACUACAACUUUUUAAACAUCUUUUUAAUUACAUUUCCACUUUAAUUGAUGAUGAUGAUCACAUGCAUUGAAUUGAAGUCGGACUAUUUUCAUAAUCAUUUAUUCAUUGAUGUAUUUUUGAAUUGAACUUUGCAGAAGAGAGUCUCUACAAUUACGGUUGAAAUGAAAAAAUACAAUGCCAUUCACCAAGCCGGCAAAUAAUAAGAAAAACGUUAAAAAAAAUUAAAUCAACCAAAAUAUCAGUUAAAAUUAGUAUAAAAAUGAGAUGUUUCGACGUCAACUCCUUUAAUAAAUAAAGAUUAUCUGAUAAUUUUUUAUCUUUAUAACUAUGAAAAUAACAAAAAGAUCAAAUUUUUCUCAAUAAAAUUAAAAUUUCACA